Molecule: non-coding RNA, 30 nt
Filed under: Mus musculus (house mouse)
Lineage: Eukaryota; Metazoa; Chordata; Mammalia; Rodentia; Muridae
Source: RNAcentral
UUACAAAUAGGAUGGUGUUCUUGAUAGUUC